This 57-nucleotide transfer RNA is filed under the name Pholcus sp. HCP-2014. RNAcentral's name for it is "tRNA-His". Lineage: Eukaryota; Metazoa; Arthropoda; Arachnida; Araneae; Pholcidae. The record is from RNAcentral.
UACUUAUUAGUUAAAUAAUAACAAUAGUUUGUGGAACUAUAAUUAUCCUAUAAACAC